CUCAAAGUUCUGCAGUAACCCCAACAACCCGUGGUAGUUUACUGCAGGCUUUGUCAUUCGAAAAUAAGUAAGGAAUGGGAGGAAGGACUUGGGUAAGAAAUUAAGGAUCGCAUCCUUACCGAGCUGCUCGUGCAGAGGAAAAUCCAAUUUGCUCAGGCACUCAAUCAUCUCGAUCAUGUACAGUACAUGAUCAGUGACUGAGGCUCCAUCCCUCAUCCGAGCAUUGAAAAUGGCACAACUAGUUUUGUGCCUUUCAACAUCGUCAGGCAUGCCAAAGGAGUCGUUCAACAUUUGAAGCAUCUCCUGUGGCUGGGCGUUCUCAAACCUGCGGCUGAACUCNNNNNNNNNNNNNNNNNNNNUCAGUCACGUUCAGUGCAGAUGUACCAUUACAUCUCACCUAUAUGCCAUACCAGUAUCUCCACACUCCUUGGUUAUGAGGACAACCAACCCAUAUGGCACACAACAACCUAUGCUCGAUAAACAUUGUCGUCCUUGGUAACAACGUAUCAUUUGGUCACGAACAGGUUUAAGGACUAAGCGACAAAUCCUCCUUUGUCGAGUCUAAAUAGUCCUAAGGACUUCACCACAACACAGGAGUUCAUUAGAAGAUGAAACAUUUAUGAUGAAAAAAUAUCAAAAUAAUUUUUAUUUAUUUAUAAUUCAUGUACUAAUACAAAAGGAGCACAACCGUCAAUAGGCUGACGAUUGGCUUUGGAACACUAUUCCCAACAAUCUCCCACUUGACCUAAAGUCAAUCGGUGCAGUAUCUAAUACCCAUCUUUGACUUGUAGUCGUUGAACUCCUUCACCGC
This 811-nucleotide long non-coding RNA is filed under the name Elaeis guineensis (African oil palm). RNAcentral's name for it is "long non-coding RNA (EGUI_LNC019713)". Lineage: Eukaryota; Viridiplantae; Streptophyta; Magnoliopsida; Arecales; Arecaceae. The record is from RNAcentral.